UACGUAGGGGGCAAGCGUUGUCCGGAUUUAUUGGGCGUAAAGAGCGUGUAGGCGGCCAUGUAGGUCCGUUGUGAAAACUCGAGGCUCAACCUCGAGACGCCGAUGGAAACCAUAUGGCUAGAGUCCGGAAGAGGAGAGUGGAAUUCCUGGUGUAGCGGUGAAAUGCGCAGAUAUCAGGAAGAACGCCCGUGGCUAAGGCGGCUCUCUAGUACGGUACUGACGCUGAGACGCGAAAGCGUGGGGAGCGAACAGG
This 253-nucleotide ribosomal RNA is filed under the name uncultured bacterium. Its description in RNAcentral is "partial 16S ribosomal RNA". It matches the Rfam family "Bacterial small subunit ribosomal RNA", at positions 524 to 776 of the family's 1533-position model. The record is from RNAcentral.